GAUUAACGCUGGCGGCGUGCCUAACGCAUGCGAGUCGAGCGGCAGCGAGUUUUACACUGAAUUCUGGAAGCUUCUAGUUGAAAGAGAAGAUUUAUUCAAGAAUUUUGUGUAAAAUGUCGGCGAGCGGCGGACGGCUGAGUAACGCGUGGGAACGUACCCCAAAGUGAGGGAUAACGCAUCGAAAGGUGUGCUAAUACCGCAUAUGGUCUUCGGAUUAAAGCCUUCGGGCGCUUUGGGAACGGCCUGCGUAAGAUUAGAUAGUUGGUGGGGUAAUGGCCUACCAAGUCGACGAUCUUUAACUGGUUUGAGAGGAUGAUCAGUCAGACUGGAACUGAGACACGGUCCAGACUCCUACGGGAGGCAGCAGUGAGGAAUCUUCCACAAUGGGCGAAAGCCUGAUGGAGCAACGCCGCGUGCAGGAUGAAGGCCUUCGGGUUGUAAACUGCUUUUAUAAGUGAGGAUUAUGACAGUAACUUAUGAAUAAGGAUCGGCUAACUACGUG
RNAcentral lists this ribosomal RNA (502 nucleotides) under uncultured bacterium. RNAcentral describes it as "partial 16S ribosomal RNA". It matches the Rfam family "Bacterial small subunit ribosomal RNA", at positions 28 to 507 of the family's 1533-position model. The record is from RNAcentral.